AGAUAUGAAAUGGUGGACAAGUUAGAGGAAAGGUCUGUGAGAGCUCAUUUAUAAGGUAUCCCAAAAGAUGUUUGAGAUAUCACUUUCUUUUUCCUGUUGUUCACAAUGUGAUUGUGAGCAAUCAUACUAUUUUCUUAGAAAUAAUGGGAAGAUAAACUCAAAGAGAAAUCUCUAAAGAACAAUGAGUCACAGGAUCUGUACAACUUAUUUAAGAUAAGCUAGUAUAUGUAUGACUUCCUCCACCUCAUAGAUCAAGUAGGAUCUUCUAUCCUUUAGAAAGAUACUUAGUAUUCUUAUAAAAGAUUCAGAGAAAGUAUUUCUCGAGGG
Molecule: long non-coding RNA, 327 nt
Filed under: Elaeis guineensis (African oil palm)
Lineage: Eukaryota; Viridiplantae; Streptophyta; Magnoliopsida; Arecales; Arecaceae
Description: long non-coding RNA (EGUI_LNC079677)
Source: RNAcentral